Molecule: transfer RNA, 86 nt
Filed under: Streptomyces minutiscleroticus
Lineage: Bacteria; Bacillati; Actinomycetota; Actinomycetes; Kitasatosporales; Streptomycetaceae
Description: tRNA-Ser
Source: RNAcentral
GGGUGCGCCAGGCCGAGGUCCUCGGCCCGUCGCCGCUGCUGACGGCGGCGCUGGAACGGCGCCUGUACGAGGCCGGGCUCACCCCC